AUGGCGAACCACGGCGCCCUGGCCGCGCCGCCGCCGCCGCCGCCGCCCUUGCUGAGCUCGGAGAGGUACACCGUGCCGAUGUCGCCGCAGCCGAGCCGCCGGAGCAGCCGGAAGUCACCCAUCCCGAGGGGCCCGUCCCGCGCGCGCGCCGCCAGGACCGCCUUCCACCUAGGGUCGCCCCCCUUGUGGGGCUUCCCGCCCACGCCGCCGCUCCCGCCGGCGCCGGCGGUGCCGUUGCUCCAGUCGCUGGCCGCGCUGCUGCUGACGCUGGUCUUGGCGCUCCGGCUGGUGACGGUGCAGCUGGGCGCCAUGCUGGUGCAGGUGGCCGUGACCGCCCCGCCGCCGGAGGAGCUGUCGCCCAUGCUGCUGUGCGGGCUCGCGGCGCCGCUCACCGGCGGGGACGCGUCCCACACGAUGACCGGCUUGGCUGGCGGCGGCGGCGCCUUCUUGUCGCCCCGCCCGUGGUCCACGGCCACGAGCACGGGGUCCAUCUCGUCGACCGGCUCCGGCGGGUGGCUGGCCCCGGAGAAGGAGCUCCUCGGCGGCGCCCCGUCAUCGUCGUCGUCGUCGCCCUCGCUGGACGCAAUGCUGAGCCUCACCUUGUCGAACGCAACAAGGACCUCCUCCUUGUCCUUGGCGGCCGCGGGUGCCGCCGGCUUGGCGCCGGCGUCCAUGUCGAAGCGGAAGGCGUCGGGCAGGAAGUCGAAGCGGAACUCGAAAUCCUGGGCGGGAUCUGGGCGCACCUGCGCGAGCUGGGAGCGGGAGCGCGCGUGGCCCGGGGCUGACCUCGGCGGCUUGGCGUGCGGUGGAGGGCGAGAUGACUGCAUCACUCACUCCUUGGCUUGGCUGACUCCUUGUCCUUGA
This 864-nucleotide ribosomal RNA is filed under the name Triticum aestivum (bread wheat). Its description in RNAcentral is "partial small subunit ribosomal RNA". The record is from RNAcentral. Lineage: Eukaryota; Viridiplantae; Streptophyta; Magnoliopsida; Poales; Poaceae.